AAAAAUCAUAGCAGCUAGCUAGCUCUACCUUGAUAACAUCUAUAAACUAAGUCCAGUCUCCAGCGCGAAUUAAACACUACCUGGGGAACAGGAGGAUAUAUCUCUAUCAGCCCCAGGCCUUGCUCUAUCCCUGCACUGAGUCUGUGAAGAGAAGGACCUGGGCUGCAGACUGGAUCCCUGACUGUCUAUAUGAUGACCACCAGGACGGAGGUUGUUCAGCCCACCUGUCCAUUCGUUGUGUUCUGUGUGAUGGAGUCUCUGUCCCUCAUGGUUUGUAUCUGUAUUUAUCAUGGAUCCCCAUGCAGCUACUCUUCCUGAGUUCCAGCGAAAUUAAGGCAGUUUAUACAAUUUUAAAAUCAUUACAAUACAUUUACAGUUUUCAUAACACACUGCCCUUAGGCCCAUACUCCACAACUACCACAUAUCUACAGUACAAAAUCCAUGUGUAUGUGUGUGUAUAGUGCGUAUGUUAUUGUGUGUGUAUGUCUGUGCCUAUGUUUGUUGCUUCACAGUCCCUGCUGUUGCAUAAGGUGUUGUUUUUUUUUUACAUCUAUUUUUAAAUUUGAAUUUUACUGCUUGCAUGAGUUACUUGAUGUGGAAUAUAGUUCCAUGUAGUCAUGGCUCUGUUGUAUUGUGCUCCUUCCAUAGUCUGUUCUGGACUUGGAGAUUGAGACCUCUUGUGACAUGUCUUGUGGGGUAUGCAUGGGUGUCCAAGCUGUGCACCAGUAGUUGAAACAGACAGCUCGGUGCAUUCAACAUGUCAAUAUCUCUCAUAAAUACAAGUAGUGAUGAAGUCAAUCUCUCCUCCUCCUUGAGCCAGGAGAAAUUGACAUGCAUAUUAUUAAUAUUAGCUCUCUGUGUACAUCCAAGGGCCAGCCAUGCGGCCCUGUUCUGAACCUAAGUCCUUUUUUGUGGCACCUGACCACACGACUGAACAGUAGUCCAGGUGUGACAAAACUAGGACCUGCCUUGUUGAUAGUGCUGUUAAGGUAGAGCAGCACUUUAUUAUGGACAUACUUCUCCCCAUCUUAGCUCCUGUUGUAUAAAUAUGUUUUGACCAUGACAGUUUACAAUACAGGGUUACUCCAAGCAGUUUAGUCACCUCUAUUUGCUCAAUUUCCACAUGAUUUAUUACAGGAUUUAGUUCAGGUUUAGAGAAUGAUUUGUCCCAAAUACAAUGCUUUUAGUUGUAGAAAUAUUUAGGACUAACUUAUUCCUUGCCACCCAUUCCGAAACUAACUGCAGCUCUUAAGAGUUGCAGUCAUUUCAGUCACUGUAGUAGCUGACAUGUAUAGUGUUGAGUCAUCCGCAUACAUAGACACACUGGCUUUCUUCAAAGCCAGUGGCAAUUCAUUAGUAAAGAUUGAAAAAAGGAAGCUGUCUAGCCCCAUUAGUUAAGGACUUCCUGAUUCUACCUGGAUUAUGUUGGAGAGGCUUCCAUUAAAGAGCACCCUCUGUGUUCUGAUAGACAGGUAACUCUUUAUCCACAAUAUGGCAUGGGGCGUAAAACCCUAACAAGUUUUUCCAGCAGCAGACUAUGAUCGAUAAUGUCAAAAGCCGCACUGAAGUCUAACAAAACAGCCCCCACAAUCUUGUCACCAAUUUCUCUCAGCCAAUCAUCAGUCAUUUGUGUAAGUGAUGUUGUUGAAUGUCCUUCUCUAUAAGCAUGCUGAAAGUUUGUCCAUUUGUUUACUGUAAAAUAGCAUUAUAUCUGGUCAAACACAAUUUUUCAAAAAGUUUAAAGGUUGGUAACAGACUGAUUGGUCGGCUAUUUUACUAUCAUUCAUCUUUGUUUCAUAGUGUAGUUUCUUCUUUUUAUUCAAUUUAGUCACAUGAUUUCUCAAUAAGCUUGCCAAUCGGUUGUGCAGCCAGACUUAUUUGCCGUUCCUCUUGCCUCAUCCCUCUCAACCAUACCAUUUUUCAAUUCCUCAUCAAACCAUGGGGAUUUAAGUUUAGUCAUUUUCUUAAUAGGUGCAUGCUGAUUAGCAACUGGAAUAAGCAACUUCUUAACUAUGUCAAGUGCAGUGUCUUGUCUGCUCCUCAUUACACACCACGGACCAACAGAUAUUCUUUACAUUAAUAAGAUAGGAAUCACUACAAAACGUAUUGUAUGACCUCUUAUGCACUAUAUUAGGCCCAGCCUUUAGGAACUUUGGUUUUCCUAGAUAUGGCUACUAUAUUGUGAUCACUACAUCCGAUGGAUCUGGAUACUGCUUUCAAGCAAAUUUCUGCAGCAUUUAGUAAAGAUGUGAUCAAUACAUGUUGAUUUCAUUCCUGUGCUGUUUGUAACUACCCUGGUAGGUUGACUGAUAACCUGAACCAGGUUGCAGGUACUGGUUACAGUCUGAAGCUUUUUCUUGAGUGGGCAGCUUGAUGAAAGCCAGUCAAGAUUUAAAUCACCCAGAAAAUACCUCUCUGUUGAUAUCACAUGCAUUAUCAAGCAUUUCACAUGUUAUCCAGAUACUGACUGUUUGCCCUUGGUGGUCUAUAGCAGCUUCCCACCAGAAUAGGCUUUAGGUGAGGCAGAUAAACCUGUAUCUAUAUUACUUCAACAGUAUUUAAUGAGAUCCUGCUUCCGACUUGGGACGGAAGCUCCUGAUCCAGGGUCCUGGGUUUGUGACCGGCCACGUCAGAGGUCCUGGCUCUCCCGCCAGCAAAACUGGACAAAUCCAUGUGUGGAUUCAAGAAUUAAGUAUGUUUUGGUACGACUGAUAUACAAAACUCAGUCACUGCAAUGACACAAAAAAUACCAAGUCAGUCAAUUUUGUAUUCAAUUUCAACAACAUGGUCAUACUGUACACUCACAAUGUACUUUAAUUGCACAAAACUAUACCUGUGACAAGUAGAAUAACUUUUCUCCCUAUGGUAACACUACAUUUUCUGUAAAUCUGGUACCCUCGCUUUGAUAAAAUGAAUUGUUGAAUACUUUGGAAAAGGUUUAACAUUACACACAUCUUCACUACUUCAUGUCAAGUAAACAUAAAUUAAGGCACUAAAAUUCCCUCAUAAAACACCAGCAUCAAAGAUAAGGUUUUCACUCUUCAUCAUUGAAGCAUUUUUACAGACACCAUCACACCAACCAUCACAAUCAUCUACUUUGCCUCAUCAUACUCAUUCUUUCCUGUUCACCUCAUCCAGUUCCAUACAGAGUACCAUAGUAGGAGUCAUAAUACCCAUAUAACCUAGCGGUCAGACAAGGAACUUUUUCCAAUUGUUUUUCCACCAUUCAUUUGUCCAAUAGGGGAUUUAAGAAACACUUCAAAUAAGGGCUGUGUUUCAUGUAGGCUUACCUUGGCGUGACGUUUUGAUAAUGGUGUAAAUCUCGAGGACAAGGUGACUUAUCAAUAUAUUCGCCUGUAUAAUAUAAAUUGGCUACAUUUCUUUAAAAUGGACAAUUCUGUGAACUGUCUUCUGCAAGUUUUAAAUUGACACAAACCAGUUAGCAAAGGUGUCAGCUAGAGAUGGCUUUGCAUGGAUUUGUAGUCUUGCAUGAUGUCUACUUUGAUGCUAAUUAGCAUUUUAGAAUCAGAGUAAAUAGAGCUGAAUAUAUUGAUCAAAUUGUCACGGCUCCUCCUCUGCAGUGCAGGGGGCGGUUCCUCCUGCAGGCAGAGGAGGGUCGUUAAGUGAUUGGAGCCACCUGGGCUCAGGGUAUAAAACUGCUUACUAAUCACCUCUCCCUGUCUUGCUCUCUCUCUCUCUCUGCUCCUCCAGGUAUGCUCAUGAUUUGUUUGUUCCUUUUUAGUUUUGCAUAGUUUCCACUCAGUCAUGUUCACACACACAUAUUCAUGCACCCAUGCACUUUACAUACACCUUACAUUAUGAUACAUCCACACCUCAUUCCUGUUUCUUAGUUUAAGUUAAUAGUUUGUUUAAUAAUAAAGAACACUUUUGAAUUGGCCUAUACCUGUUGUUCGUGUCCCCUCAUUUUUGUCACAGGCUAUGAGCCGGCUUGUGACAAAAUUCACCUUGUCCGAGAAAGAUUUACAUGGUUAUCAAAACGUCACCCCAGGAUAAACCUACACGAAACAUCUGUACUUUACUAAUUAUAUUUUUGACAACUUUUACUUUACUACAUUCGUGAAGAAAAUAAUGUACUUUUUUCUCCAUACAUUUUCCCUGACACCCAAAAGUACAUUUUGACAGGAGAAUAGUCCAAUUCACACACUUAUCAAGAGAACAUCCCUGGUCAUCCCUACUGCCUCUGAUCUGGCAGAUGCACUAAACACAAAUGCUUUGUUUGUAGUGUGUCCCUGGCUCUCCAUAAAUACAAUUUAAAAAACCAC
Salvelinus fontinalis (brook trout) is the source of this 4283-nucleotide long non-coding RNA. RefSeq lists it as uncharacterized. NCBI's taxonomy places the organism in Eukaryota, Metazoa, Chordata, Actinopteri, Salmoniformes, Salmonidae. The record is from RefSeq and is a predicted model, not a curated record. The transcript has 2 exons.